This 486-nucleotide ribosomal RNA is filed under the name uncultured bacterium. RNAcentral's name for it is "bacterial SSU rRNA". It matches the Rfam family "Bacterial small subunit ribosomal RNA", at positions 28 to 524 of the family's 1533-position model. The record is from RNAcentral.
GACGAACGCUGGCGGCGUGCUUAACACAUGCAAGUCGAACGAGGUCCACCGCGUAGCAAUACAAGGGAAGACCUAGUGGCGAACGGGUGCGUAACACGUGAGGAACUUGUCCCGGUCUCUGGGAUAACAGUUGGAAACGACUGCUAAUACCGGAUGACGUCGGAGCAUCGCAUGGUGCGCUGACGAAAGGGUUACUGGAUCGGGAGAGCCUCGCGGCCUAUCAGCUUGUUGGUGGGGUAACGGCCUACCAAGGCAUCGACGGGUAGCUGGUCUGAGAGGAUGAUCAGCCACACUGGGACUGAGACACGGCCCAGACUCCUACGGGAGGCAGCAGUGGGGGAAUCUUGCGCAAUGGGCGAAAGCCUGACGCAGCAACGCCGCGUGCGGGAAGAAGGCCCUCGGGUUGUAAACCGCUUUCAGCAGGAACGAAAUGACGGUACUUGCAGAAGAAGGUGCGGCCAACUACGUGCCAGCAGCCGCGGUAAU